UACGUAGGCAGCAAGCGUUGUUCGGAUUUACUGGGCGUAAAGGGCGCGUAGGCGGCGCGGUAAGUCACUUGUGAAAUCUCUGAGCUUAACUCAGAACGGCCAAGUGAUACUGCAGUGCUAGAGUGUGGAAGGGGCAAUCGGAAUUCUUGGUGUAGCGGUGAAAUGCGUAGAUAUCAAGAGGAACACCUGAGGUGAAGACGGGUUGCUGGGCCAACACUGACGCUGAUGCGCGAAAGCCAGGGGAGCAAACGGG
This 253-nucleotide ribosomal RNA is filed under the name uncultured bacterium. RNAcentral describes it as "partial 16S ribosomal RNA". It matches the Rfam family "Bacterial small subunit ribosomal RNA", at positions 524 to 776 of the family's 1533-position model. The record is from RNAcentral.